Molecule: unclassified non-coding RNA, 343 nt
Filed under: soil metagenome
Description: partial contains 5.8S ribosomal RNA, internal transcribed spacer 2, and large subunit ribosomal RNA
Rfam family: 5.8S ribosomal RNA (bases 1-120)
Source: RNAcentral
GAUGAAGAACGCGGCGAAAUGCGAUAAGUAAUGUGAAUUGCAGAAUCCAGUGAAUCAUCGAAUCUUUGAACGCACAUUGCGCCCGCCAGCAUUCUGGCGGGCAUGCCUGUUCGAGCGUCAUUUCAACCCUCGACCUCCCUUUGGGGAAGUCGGCGUUGGGGACCGGCAGCACACCGCCGGCCCUGAAAUGGAGUGGCGGCCCGUCCGCGGCGACCUCUGCGUAGUAAACCAACUCGCACCGGAACCCCGACGUGGCCACGCCGUAAAACACCCAACUUCUGAACGUUGACCUCGAAUCAGGUAGGACUACCCGCUGAACUUAAGCAUAUCAAUAAGCGGAGGA